Molecule: long non-coding RNA, 1291 nt
Filed under: Capsicum annuum
Lineage: Eukaryota; Viridiplantae; Streptophyta; Magnoliopsida; Solanales; Solanaceae
Description: long non-coding RNA (CANN_LNC019305)
Source: RNAcentral
AUCCUGCAAAUAUUUAACCAUGAGGCUUCCAUGAAAGACAAAAGUCAUCUUUCAUUGCAAGCCCAAGAAAUCAAAAUAAACAGUCUCUAGUGAGCUCUUCCAUGAAAAAUAAUCACCUCUUUUAACCAGACAAUGUAAUUGGGGUAAAUCUUUUGGUCAUCAAGUUAGAUGCAACUAGACCAACCAAAUGUUUGGGGAAUGUUUUUAAGGGAAUCAUAACAACAACACAUACCUGGUGUAGUCCCAUAAAGUGGGGUCUAGGGUAGGAUAGAGUGUACGACGGGACUUUCAAUUAAAAAGGACAAACAAGUUGUCCAAUUAAGUGAAAGUCCUCCAAGUUUUUUAAAUUAGGUGGGAGGGACAAAAGUUUUUUGAGUUUUUUUUUUUUAAGUUUUUCCGUUCCAACAACUUGACCCAGUUGUAGAACAACUUUGGUAGUUGUUCAACAACUAGGCGCAGUUGUCGAACAACUACCAAAAUUGUUCAACAACUGCGCAAGCUUUUCAACAACUUCGCCCAGUUGUUCGACAACUGCGCCUAGUUGUUCGACAACUAGGCGUAGUUGUUCGACAACUGAGAGAAGUUGUUCGACAACUGCGCGAAGUUGUUCAGACAACUAAUGUAGUUGUCCAACAACUAUCUCAGUUCUUUUUUCAAUUGGAAAUUUGGAAGGCCCUUCUGGCUUAUUUUUCUCAUGUACGACUGUACGCAGACCUUACUCCUACUUCAGAGGUAGAAAGGUUGUUGUGAUAGAUGCCGACUAAAGGAAAAACAAUCCAUAAAUGAAAAAGAAGUAACGGAAGCACAAGAGAAAUAAUUCAAUAAUAACAAAAACAAAAUAUGGCAACAGAACAGAAACUACAACAAAAACAAUAACAAAAACCAAGGUACAAGGAAUCAGGAUCAUAAAGCGUAUGCUACAAAUUGCUACAGGCAAAAAUCAUUAGUUCCCUCCAUGAAUCAUCCAAAUAAGGAACAAAUAAAAAAUCACAGAGCAUUAUGCCAAUGCCCACCAACAAACCGAGGCAGAUUCCAAAUAUAGAGAUGAUGGGUGAAGCCUAAUAUCUAUGUACAUUUUGAAACAAUUUUGGAAUAUGGCAUUUGAAGGGCUAGAUCCUCCUCUGCCUUCAGAUCACAAAACUCCACCAAAAAACAAGAAUUCAAGACGGUAAGGAAAAGUAAGAAGUCAACUGAUCACUCAAGAAAAGAGCAAAAGCAAAUGUAAGAUCAAUCCAAUGACAUACACACACAAACAACAAUAGGGGAUCUGAAUAUAUUACAAAGAUUCAAA